CGAGUAAUAGCUCAGUGGUAAGAGUACCUACUUAGCAUGCAUGAGGUCCUGGGUUCAAUCCCCAAGUACCUCCA
Molecule: transfer RNA, 74 nt
Filed under: Camelus ferus (Wild Bactrian camel)
Lineage: Eukaryota; Metazoa; Chordata; Mammalia; Artiodactyla; Camelidae
Rfam family: tRNA
About the family: Transfer RNA (tRNA) molecules are approximately 80 nucleotides in length.
Source: Rfam by way of RNAcentral